CACUCUUAAGAUUGAGCUGUGAUGGGGAGAGGAAAUUGUUUCCUCGAGUCGUUGAUUUCACACUGCCGAGAAAAGCCUCUAGAUAGAGAUUAGGUGCCCGUACCGCAAACCGACACAGGUAGUCAAGAUGAGAAUUCUAAGGUGAGCGAGCGAACUCUCGUUAAGGAACUCGGCAAAAUGACCCCGUAACUUCGGGAGAAGGGGUGCUCUUUAGGGUGCAAGCCCAGA
Molecule: ribosomal RNA, 228 nt
Filed under: Staphylococcus lloydii
Lineage: Bacteria; Bacillati; Bacillota; Bacilli; Caryophanales; Staphylococcaceae
Description: partial 23S ribosomal RNA
Rfam family: Bacterial large subunit ribosomal RNA
Source: RNAcentral